GUCAUAUGGAUUUCCGGUUGAUCCUGCCGGAGGCCAUUGCUAUCGGAGUCCGAUUUAGCCAUGCUAGUCGCACGAGUUCAUACUCGUGGCAUAUAGCUCAGUAACACGUGGCCAAACUACCCUACAGACCGCAAUAACCUCGGGAAACUGAGGCCAAUAGCGGAUAUAACUCUCAUGCUGGAGUGCCGAGAGUUAGAAACGUUCCGGCGCUGUAGGAUGUGGCUGCGGCCGAUUAGGUAGAUGGUGGGGUAACGGCCCACCAUGCCGAUAAUCGGUACGGGUUGUGAGAGCAAGAACCCGGAGACGGUAUCUGAGACAAGAUACCGGGCCCUACGGGGCGCAGCAGGCGCGAAACCUUUACACUGCACGACAGUGCGAUAGGGGGACUCCGAGUGCGAGGGCAUAUAGCCCUCGCUUUUCUGUACCGUAAGGUGGUACAGGAACAAGGACUGGGCAAGACCGGUGCCAGCCGCCGCGGUAAUACCGGCAGUCCAAGUGAUGGCCGAUAUUAUUGGGCCUAAAGCGUCCGUAGCCGGCCGGACAAGUCCGUUGGGAAAUCGACGCGCUCAACGCGUCGGCGUCCAGCGGAAACUGUCCGGCUUGGGGCCGGAAGACCUGAGGGGUACGUCCGGGGUAGGAGUGAAAUCCUGUAAUCCUGGACGGACCACCAAUGGGGAAACCACCUCAGGAAGACGGACCCGACGGUGAGGGACGAAAGCUAGGGUCUCGAACCGGAUUAGAUACCCGGGUAGUCCUAGCUGUAAACGAUGCUCGCUAGGUGUGCCGUAGGCUAUGAGCCUGCGCUGCGCCCUAGGGAAGCCGAGAAGCGAGCCGCCUGGGAAGUACGUCUGCAAGGAUGAAACUUAAAGGAAUUGGCGGGGGAGCACCACAACCGGAGGAGCCUGCGGUUUAAUUGGACUCAACGCCGGACAUCUCACCGGUCCCGACAGUAGUAAUGACAGUCAGGUUGACGACUUUACUCGACGCUACUGAGAGGAGGUGCAUGGCCGCCGUCAGCUCGUACCGUGAGGCGUCCUGUUAAGUCAGGCAACGAGCGAGACCCGCACUUCUAGUUGCCAGCAAUACCCUUGAGGUAGUUGGGUACACUAGGAGGACUGCCGCUGCUAAAGCGGAGGAAGGAACGGGCAACGGUAGGUCAGUAUGCCCCGAAUGGACCGGGCAACACGCGGGCUACAAUGGCUCUGACAGUGGGAUGCAACGCCGAGAGGCGGAGCUAAUCUCCAAACGGAGUCGUAGUUCGGAUUGCGGGCUGAAACCCGCCCGCAUGAAGCUGGAUUCGGUAGUAAUCGCGUGUCAGAAGCGCGCGGUGAAUACGUCCCUGCUCCUUGCACACACCGCCCGUCAAAGCACCCGAGUGGGGUCCGGAUGAGGCCGUCAUGCGACGGUCGAAUCUGGGCUCCGCAAGGGGGCUUAAGUCGUAACAAGGUAGCCGUAGAGGAAUCUGUGGCUGGAUCACCUCCUUAAUCGGAU
Molecule: ribosomal RNA, 1491 nt
Filed under: Haloarcula argentinensis
Lineage: Archaea; Methanobacteriati; Methanobacteriota; Halobacteria; Halobacteriales; Haloarculaceae
Description: bacterial SSU rRNA
Rfam family: Archaeal small subunit ribosomal RNA
Source: RNAcentral